GGCCAAACAAAAACAGGCUUUGUUAUUAUUAUCCGGCCCAUUAUAAUGACUUCUUAAGUCGGUUUUAAAAUGCGAAACCCUAGAUCGCGAGAAACAAAAGGAUCUCCGCUAUAUAUAAAACGAUAAACCCAAAUUAUCAUAGAACAACCACCGCAGCUUCGUAGCCUAAAAUCACUCUUGUGUCUUGAUUGCUUGUUUUUUCUUGUGUUCAUAAAACACUGAUCGGGUUUUCGUAUGUCCAUAGUGAUGAGAUUCAGCAGACGGGCGGUCUGAAUUGAUGCCAUGUAGAUAUGUCUGCAUUCGCUACAACUUUGUAGCUUAUCUGAGUAUUGAUCUCUUUGUUUGAUUUAUGUUACAGAUUUAUAUUGCGAUGAUGAAUUUGCUUCUAAUUAUGUCUGGACAUAUGAGAUUAUUCAAUC
Long non-coding RNA from Raphanus sativus (radish), 419 nucleotides. RefSeq lists it as uncharacterized. The transcript is spliced from 2 exons. Lineage: Eukaryota; Viridiplantae; Streptophyta; Magnoliopsida; Brassicales; Brassicaceae. The record is from RefSeq and is a predicted model, not a curated record.